Molecule: ribosomal RNA, 807 nt
Filed under: uncultured fungus
Lineage: Eukaryota; Fungi
Description: eukaryotic LSU rRNA
Rfam family: Eukaryotic large subunit ribosomal RNA
Source: RNAcentral
CCCGCUGAACUUAAGCAUAUCAUUAAGCGGAGGAAAAGAAACUAACAAGGAUGCCCUCAGUAACGGCGAGUGAAGCGGGCAAAGCUCAACCUGUAAAUCUGUUACCUUAGCGGGUAACCGAGUUGUGGGCUACAGACGCUGUAUCAGUGUGUGACCCAGGUAUAAAUCUUUUGGAACAUGGUUAUCAUAGAGGGUGAGAGUCCCGUCUGUGACCUGGAGUUCGCCACGUACGAUACGCGUUCUAAGAGUCGGGUUGUUUGGGAUUGCAGCCCUAAUUGGGUGGUAAACUUCAUCCAAAGCUAAAUAUCGACGAGAGACCGAUAGCGAACAAGUACCGUGAGGGAAAGGUGAAAAGAACUUUGAAAAGAGAGUUAAAAAGUACUUGAAAUUGCUAAGAGGGAAGCACUGGAAACCAGUCGUGCCAAGCGUCUAUAUUUACCACCCGCACUCGGAUCUCUGAGAUAACGAGCCAAAAGCCGGAUAUCAAAAGGGUGAUGGAGUGUGGUUGGGUUCUGUAGCGUUGGGUGUGUCAGAAUCAAUUUGAUCCGUGAGAGAAAGCUUGUGCUACGCAGAGGACGGAGGCUUUCGGGCCAAUGUCUGUUCGGUGCGCGAGUGCUAUCAUGGGUUGGAUUGAGGCAAAUCACAAGUGCGCACCACUAGGUUAGCUCCCGCCUUUUUCCUGGAAGAUCACUGAGCUUGCACAAUAAAAUUGUGCGGCUUAGAAAGUCAACUACUGGAAUUGAACGGGAAGCAGCAGCACUCGAGAUUCUGACGAAAUGGUUUUCAUUGACCCGUCUUGAAACACGG